GUAGGUGGCAAGCGUUGUCCGGAAUUAUUGGGCGUAAAGCGCGCGCAGGCGGUUCUUUAAGUCUGAUGUGAAAGCCCACGGCUCAACCGUGGAGGGUCAUUGGAAACUGGAGAACUUGAGUACAGAAGAGGAAAGCGGAAUUCCACGUGUAGCGGUGAAAUGCGUAGAGAUGUGGAGGAACACCAGUGGCGAAGGCGGCUUUCUGGUCUGUAACUGACGCUGAGGCGCGAAGGCGUGGGGAGCAAACAGGGAUUAGAUACCCUGGUAGUCCACGCCGUAAACGAUGAGUGCUAAGUGUUAGGGGGUUUCCGCCCCCUUAGUGCUGCAGCUAACGCAUUAAGCACUCCGCCUGGGGAGUACGGCCGCAAGGCUG
Molecule: ribosomal RNA, 373 nt
Filed under: uncultured organism
Description: partial 16S ribosomal RNA
Rfam family: Bacterial small subunit ribosomal RNA
Source: RNAcentral